This is a long non-coding RNA of Pyrgilauda ruficollis (rufous-necked snowfinch), 2329 nucleotides long. RefSeq lists it as uncharacterized. NCBI's taxonomy places the organism in Eukaryota, Metazoa, Chordata, Aves, Passeriformes, Passeridae. The record is from RefSeq and is a predicted model, not a curated record. The transcript has 3 exons.
GGGGAAAACAGGCUGGACCUGGGGAAAAAUUAAUUCCCAAUCAAAUCAGAGCAGGCUAACGAGAAAGAAAAGCAAGUUGUAAAGGCAGAGGGGGUUGCUGGGGCAGAGGUUCCAGCCUGUGAGGCUGCCCUGGCCCGGCCGGAGCUGGAGCUGGAGCUGGAGGAUGGAGGAUGGAGGAUGGAGGAUGGAGGAUGGAGGAUGGAUGGAGCAGCCCCUGCACAGGGGGCUCGUGGAUCUGCUCCAGCAGCCGAUUUAACAGCUCUGGCCCUGCCCAUGCCUUUUCCUCCAAAGGCAGGUGCUUUUCCGUGGGGACACAGUGUCCGAGGGCGAUGCCACCGAGCCCGGCCGGGGCCAAACCGGGGGGGCUGCACCCGGUACCCCCUGUUCCCACCAGGUUCCUGCGGGGCAGGCACAAGGUGCUCCAAUACUCUUCAGGUGCUUCCUCACCAGGCAGCAUCUGUUUCCUGUCCUAAACAGGACAGAGCCAGGGCUGCUGGGACUCCUCUGUCAGCAGAGGAGGAUGAGCCUGUCCCUCUGCUGUCCCUGCCCCGCCUGAGCACGGCUCUCCCCCUGCCCCGGGUGCCGCAUCCCUCCCUCGGGCCCCGCAUCCUCACUCGGGGCCCUUCUCCCGCUGCCCUCCCUCGGCCCAGGCUCAGGAAACUCGGGCUGGGUUUUUCCAGCUGCCGAAGCCGCGGAGCCCUCCGUGCAGAGGAGCAGCUGGAGCGCCCAGCCCGAGGCGGGAGCGGGGCUGGAGCAGCAGCGCAGGUUUUGGUGCAGGUUUUGGUGCAGGUUUUGGUGCAGGUGAGGACUCCAAGGUGUGGUUUUGUCACCGAGCCGAGGCGGCAGAGCCCGCGGAGAGGAGCUCCAGGAGCUGGGAUCAGAGUCCCGGGAUGUCCCAGCGAGAUGGGGUUAAAGCUUUCGGAUCCCGGUGCCGAGCACUUGAUGGUUUUGCCAUUUAAAGGCUGUGCUCGUUUCUUGGAUGGCUCCAGCGAAAGGCUUCCAGCUAUUCCCGAGGGAUCCUCCUACAUCCUGGUGAGAUAAGGAUCAGGAAGGGAAGGUCUCUGCAAUCUCAGCUGCGGCUUUGAGCACAGAUUCCCUUUUCACUUUGGGGGCGGAGGGGAGGAGAACAAAUUUGCCAGAAAAAAAUUAUGUCUAAGUGACACACACACACACACAAAAAUAUAUCCCACAACAAUGAUCUUAUCCUGUGAGUCAACAACAGCCACGUCUGCCUUUGUUCUGGCGGGGCUGUGGGACACCAGCAGGGAGGAGAGGGGACAGGGCAGCCUCUCCCAGGAAAAAACCCCGAGCAGCUCCUAAACCAAGCAGUGGUGAGCUCUGUCCUGGCUCUCCCUGCCUGGGAAGGAAGUGAGAGCCAGGCAGAGAGAGGAUGUGAGUGAGGAGCAGAAUCACAGCUGGUGGGAGUGAGGGCUGCUGAAUUAUCAACCAGAACGAGAGGCUGGAGCCUGCCGUGGGGACAGCGUCCUGUCACUGUGCCUCAGUUUCCCCAUCCAUGCUUUGCCCGGGGUACUGAGCAGAGGGAUUUGGUCCUGUGGCUGCACUAAUCCCCUCGCAGGUGGGAGCAGAGGAUUUCCCCUGAGGAGCAGCAAUUCCAAAGGGACAAAUGAAACCCGCGGGCCCUUGGGGAGGGGGAAGGAGCUGGAGGCUCCAAACCAGAGAGGAGAGAAGCUCUUUAGGAAGGAAGCAUUGUUUACACCUUUUUAUUUUUAAUGUACGUAUAUUUGGAUCCAACCUUUUCCAUGAUGGGUGUCAGAAAUCAAGGCCUCUUUUGUUCUACAAUUCACUCAGAGAUGUUUUUUGGUUCCUUAGUGAAAAAAAGGAAUUUAUUUGUUUUUCCUUACAACAAAACACACACAGAGCUCUCGUUGCUGUAGAAAACUGUUUUGUUAAUGACACUUCUUGCCAGGAUUGCUGCCCUGGUUUGGGGGGAAAUAAAGCAUUCCGAAGCCCUUGCUGCAGGCCUUGGAGCCUCACCAUGAUUUGGGGGGAAAUAAAGCAUUCCAAACCCCUUGCUGCAGGUCUUGGAGCCCCACCAUGAUAUUGGGGGAAAUAAAGCAUUCCGAAGCCCUUGCUGCAGGUCUUGGAGCCUCACCAUGAUUUGGGGGGAAAUAAAGCAUUCCAAACCCCUUGCUGCAGGUCUUGGAGCCCCACCAUGCUGCACCUGCAGUUUGCCCCUGGGAUUUGUCUGAAGGAAUCCCAGCCCUGCAGUGGAAGGGAAUGGGAAGGGAGCGUGUGCCAGGUAAAUACUGACCCCACAGGGCUGCUCCUGUGCCAGGGGCUGAGCUGUGCCCCGGUGCAGCCCUGCCAG